Ceratotherium simum simum (southern white rhinoceros) is the source of this 286-nucleotide non-coding RNA. The record is from RefSeq and is a predicted model, not a curated record. NCBI's taxonomy places the organism in Eukaryota, Metazoa, Chordata, Mammalia, Perissodactyla, Rhinocerotidae.
CCCGCCCCCAGCGUGGGUCUCUAGGUGAAGAUUAGAGGAAGGAGGGACAGUGAAAAAGGAAGGUCGAGGCUGGUUCAGAUCCACUUGGAGGAAGUUACCAAGCAGAAAGAGGCAGCCUGGGCCCGAGUUUGCAUGAUUAAUUCGGAUCCUGGGCCUAAGGCUGAAACCGGGCUGAAGUAAAUAGUACCACAGAAUCCAACCACUCCACACCCCGUUGGGCAAGAAGAGGCUGAGGCCCCGGGGAGCAGCGGGGGCAAGAAACUUUCAGGCUGGGAAGUGGACGCAG